RNAcentral lists this ribosomal RNA (254 nucleotides) under uncultured bacterium. RNAcentral describes it as "partial 16S ribosomal RNA". It matches the Rfam family "Bacterial small subunit ribosomal RNA", at positions 524 to 776 of the family's 1533-position model. The record is from RNAcentral.
UACGGGGGGAGCAAGCGUUGUUCGGAUUUACUGGGCGUAAAGGGCGCGUAGGCGGUCAGCACAAGUCAGUUGUGAAAUCUCCGAGCUUAACUCGGAAAGGUCAACUGAUACUGUGCGACUAGAGUGCGGAAGGGGCAACUGGAAUUCUUGGUGUAGCGGUGAAAUGCGCAGAUAUCAGGAGGAACACCGGUGGCGAAGGCGGGUCUCUGGGCAGUAACUGACGCUGAGGAGCGAAAGCGUGGGGAGCGAACAGG